GAUGAACGCUGGCGGCGUGCUUAACACAUGCAAGUCGAACGAGAAGUGGAGACGGAAACCUUCGGGCGGAAGACUUUAUUUCGAGUGGCGGACGGGUGAGUAACGCGUGGGUAACCUGCCUCAUACAGGGGGAUAACAGUUGGAAACGACUGUUAAUACCGCAUAAGACCACAGCACCGCAUGGUGCGGGGGUAAAAACUCCGGUGGUAUGAGAUGGACCCGCGUUCGAUUAGCCAGUUGGCGGGGUAACGGCCCACCAAAGCGACGAUCGAUAGCCGAUCUGAGAGGAGGACCGGCCACAUUGGGACUGAGACACGGCCCAAACUCCUACGGGAGGCAGCAGUGGGGAAUAUUGCACAAUGGGGGAAACCCUAAUGCAGCGACGCCGCGUGAGUGAAGAAGUAUUUCGGUAUGUAAAGCUCUAUCAGCAGGGAAGAAAAUGACGGUACCUGAGUAAGAAGCCCCGGCUAACUACGUG
RNAcentral lists this ribosomal RNA (478 nucleotides) under uncultured bacterium. RNAcentral describes it as "partial 16S ribosomal RNA". It matches the Rfam family "Bacterial small subunit ribosomal RNA", at positions 28 to 507 of the family's 1533-position model. The record is from RNAcentral.